Molecule: ribosomal RNA, 472 nt
Filed under: uncultured bacterium
Lineage: Bacteria
Description: bacterial SSU rRNA
Rfam family: Bacterial small subunit ribosomal RNA
Source: RNAcentral
UGGGGAAUAUUGGACAAUGGGCGAAAGCCUGAUCCAGCCAUGCCGCGUGUGUGAAGAAGGUCUUCGGAUUGUAAAGCACUUUAAGUUGGGAGGAAGGGCAGUUACCUAAUACGUGAUUGUUUUGACGUUACCGACAGAAUAAGCACCGGCUAACUCUGUGCCAGCAGCCGCGGUAAUACAGAGGGUGCAAGCGUUAAUCGGAAUUACUGGGCGUAAAGCGCGCGUAGGUGGUUAGUUAAGUUGGAUGUGAAAUCCCCGGGCUCAACCUGGGAACUGCAUUCAAAACUGACUGACUAGAGUAUGGUAGAGGGUGGUGGAAUUUCCUGUGUAGCGGUGAAAUGCGUAGAUAUAGGAAGGAACACCAGUGGCGAAGGCGACCACCUGGACUGAUACUGACACUGAGGUGCGAAAGCGUGGGGAGCAAACAGAAUUAGAUACCCGUGUAGUCCCUGAGCGGGCUGGCAAGGCGCAU